GACGAACGCUGGCGGCGUGCCUAAUACAUGCAAGUCGAGCGAGCUUGCCUAGAUGAAUUUGGUGCUUGCACCAGAUGAAACUAGAUACAAGCGAGCGGCGGACGGGUGAGUAACACGUGGGUAACCUGCCCAAGAGACUGGGAUAACACCUGGAAACAGAUUCUAAUACCGGAUAACAACACUAGACGCAUGUCUAGAGUUUAAAAGAUGGUUCUGCUAUCACUCUUGGAUGGACCUGCGGUGCAUUAGCUAGUUGGUAAGGCAACGGCUUACCAAGGCAAUGAUGCAUAGCCGAGUUGAGAGACUGAUCGGCCACAUUGGGACUGAGACACGGCCCAAACUCCUACGGGAGGCAGCAGUAGGGAAUCUUCCACAAUGGACGCAAGUCUGAUGGAGCAACGCCGCGUGAGUGAAGAAGGGUUUCGGCUCGUAAAGCUCUGUUGGUAGUGAAGAAAGAUAGAGGUAGUAACUGGCCUUUAUUUGACGGUAAUUACUUAGAAAGUCACGGCUAACUACGUG
Molecule: ribosomal RNA, 519 nt
Filed under: uncultured bacterium
Lineage: Bacteria
Description: partial 16S ribosomal RNA
Rfam family: Bacterial small subunit ribosomal RNA
Source: RNAcentral